CAUUAUAGCAAUAAACCGAAGAGGCAGGUUUGUUGCUGGAGGUUUGCUCCACAUGUGCACACUUUUGGUCGCAAUCCACACACACCUGUGCAUCUAUGACUCGAGGUUGUAAUGACUGAUAGUAACUUUUACACACUCUUGUAUGUAAUGGAAUGUCUUUUGUGCUAUAAUGUACAAUAUAAACAACUUUCAACAACGGAUCUCUUGGCUCUCGCAUCGAUGAAGAACGCARCGAAAUGCGAUAAGUAAUGUGAAUUGCAGAAUUCAGUGAAUCAUCGAAUCUUUGAACGCACCUUGCACCCUUUGGUAUUCCGAAGGGUACGCCCGUUUGAGUGUCAUUGUAAUCUCACUUCUACAACUUUAUUGUUGUUUGAAUGUGGACUUGGAUGUUGCCGUGUCAUUACGGCUCGUCUCAAAUGCCUGAGUGUACCCUGUUUUGCAGCGUAUCCAGUGUAAUAAACAUUUCACUAGAGUUGGUCGAAAGACCGCGUUUGCAAUUUGGGCUCUAUGCUUCAAACCGUCUGCUAUGUGGACAAUUUCUUGACAAUUUGACCUCAAAUCGGGUGGAACUACCCGCUGAACUU
Molecule: ribosomal RNA, 584 nt
Filed under: uncultured fungus
Lineage: Eukaryota; Fungi
Description: eukaryotic LSU rRNA
Rfam family: 5.8S ribosomal RNA (bases 185-338)
Source: RNAcentral